This is a long non-coding RNA of Cygnus olor (mute swan), 768 nucleotides long. RefSeq lists it as uncharacterized. The transcript is spliced from 4 exons. The record is from RefSeq and is a predicted model, not a curated record. Lineage: Eukaryota; Metazoa; Chordata; Aves; Anseriformes; Anatidae.
UCUGUCUCCACAUGAACAUCCUGAUCCUUACGCUAGCCUGAGCCAGGUCCUUCAGGCAGGAUGAGCAGAGGGGCACUUGGUCUGUGGACUCCAGGGGAGUUUGUGUCACUGUCUGAGUAAGAACUGAGGAACUUUAUUCAUUAAAAAAUGAGGUAUCUACAGAUUUCAGGCACUGACAGAGCCAGACAGCAGCUGAGCAGAGUUGUCAGGGUUCUAUAUUUGAACUGGAGUCCGGAGAGGCAGUUGGGUAGGAUGACAGUGUGACAAAUGUGACAGGUUUACACAGAUCUUCACUUUCUCUUCAGAAAUAUAGUUAACAGGUUUUGCAAUUACACAGGGUGCAGAUGCGAGCUGUAUUUCAUGCCAUGACUUCAGUUGUCUGACUCUCACACUACAUCGAAAGACAGCAUUUACAAGCAGCAGAGAACUCCUCCUGAAUUCUCCAAUGUGCUGCUGCAGACAGAGCUCACCUACAAAUGAGAUGCCAUCAUGUAAAAGAGGCUUUAUUAUCUCGUUUCUUUCAAACCUACUGUUACCUGCAUGAAGUUCUAUUUCUGAAUGACUUCAUUGCCAAGAAGCUAGAAUAUGAGAAAUGCAGCACCUGGUCAGAUGGUCUGCUCUUGUAGCUGGCAAGUCCUUCCAAGUGUCUAGCUGCUGAAGGCGUUUUAUCUCACUGUGUCAGUCAUGGCUAACAACAAAGCAGCAAAAUUGGUAAACGCUACAAGCAUGUUUUUUUGUUGUUGUUGUUUUGUUUUGUUUUUGUUUUUG